ACUAGGCUAUUCGGCCACUAGGGUAAUAAAAGGAAAAUAAAAUUGAGCUUGUUGUCUCAUGGUGGCAGGCCGAGACAUCUAGAGAGAGAUAGAGAAAACGUGAGAGAGAAAGAGAAGGAGAAGAGAAAGAAGAGGAGGCAAAGGUUUGAUGUCCUAAGGUUUGAAUUUCCCAAGAGCAUAGUGAAGAUAUUGGGUUACGGUUCGACCUACAAGGGUGUUGGAGAUUAGCAAUCAAAUGGGAGAGGGCAUUCGAUUUUAUAUUUUGGUGUACUAAAGAGUUGUGGUGCAACUUGUGCCACGUGUGCAUGGCCCGUGCACACGUGGGGUAUGCGUGUUGGACAUAUGAAAUCUUACAGGAUUUUAAGAUGAACGUUUGAUUGUGAAUCUAGGCUCGUUGUGAAGUACCCCACACUUUAUUUUGCUUGGACUUGAGUAGGUUGUUAGCGUGCUGAACGCAACACAACAAAUGAGUUACUAAGGAUAUGACGUAACUCAUAAGGCGAACGUGCCGAGGUUUUUCGAGGACCUGAGUUCCUGUUCAUAAAUGAGGUCUUACCGGUUUAUGCUUUUGUUGGCUACCUCUUGAUGUCACAUGGACAAUAGGAGUGUCAUGAUUGCAUGAUGUAUGAUUAAUGAUUAUGAAUUUGAUAUGACUAUGAAUGAAUAUGAUAUGGUUAUGAUAUGACUUGCCAUGAAUUUACGAUACGUAUGUAGUUUUUCUUGUGUUUUCUUGAAUAUUGUUGUAUUUUUUUGUACUUACUUACUGGGCUUUAUGCUCAUCCUAUUACUUUUCCCCAUUCAGGAAGACAAUAGGGUUUCUCCUUGGCACGCAUAGUGAUGUGGGAAGUUUCGAUGACUAGGCAUGUAUGAUGCGGGGUGUCCUAUAAGGGAUUAAUGAUCAAGAUGAGUGCCAAGAAUAAUUAAUAACUUAUGUUAUGGUUUAUGUUUUUAAUUACGUCAGUGGAACUUUUUAUUUUAUUUUAUUUUCAAAGACUACAUAAAGACAACAUUUUUAUUUCAAACUAUCGGGCCCAAAUUGCAUGUAAUAUCAUGACCCCACUGAACAUUUUCUCUAAAA
Long non-coding RNA from Humulus lupulus (European hop), 1078 nucleotides. RefSeq lists it as uncharacterized. The transcript is spliced from 5 exons. The record is from RefSeq and is a predicted model, not a curated record. Lineage: Eukaryota; Viridiplantae; Streptophyta; Magnoliopsida; Rosales; Cannabaceae.